CAGUCGCCGCGGUAAUACGUAGGUGGCAAGCGUUGUCCGGAAUUAUUGGGCGUAAAGGGCUCGCAGGCGGUUUCUUAAGUCUGAUGUGAAAGCCCCCGGCUCAACCGGGGAGGGUCAUUGGAAACUGGGAAACCUGAGUGCAGAAGAGGAGAGUGGAAUUCCACGUGUAGCGGUGAAAUGCGUAGAGAUGUGGAGGAACACCAGUGGCGAAGGCGACUCUCUGGUCUGUAACUGACGCUGAGGAGCGAAAGCGUGGGGAGCGAACAGGAUUAGAUACCCCAGUAGUCCCUGUCUCUUAUAC
This 301-nucleotide ribosomal RNA is filed under the name uncultured bacterium. Its description in RNAcentral is "partial 16S ribosomal RNA". It matches the Rfam family "Bacterial small subunit ribosomal RNA", at positions 509 to 807 of the family's 1533-position model. The record is from RNAcentral.